GACGAACGCUGGCGGCGUGCUUAACACAUGCAAGUCGAACGGAAAGGCCCCUUUGGGGGUACUCGAGUGGCGAACGGGUGAGUAACACGUGAGUAACCUGCCCUUGACUUCGGGAUAACUUCAGGAAACUGGGGCUAAUACCGGAUAGGAAUCCUUGCUGCAUGGUGGGGGUUGGAAAGCUUCUGCGGUUUUGGAUGGACUCGCGGCUUAUCAGCUUGUUGGUGGGGUAGUGGCUUACCAAGGCUUUGACUGGUAGCCGGCCUGAGAGGGCGACCGGCCACAUUGGGACUGAGAUACGGCCCAGACUCCUACGGGAGGCAGCAGGGGGGAAUAUUGCACAAUGGGCGGAAGCCUGAUGCAGCAACGCCGCGGGCGGGAUGACGGCCUUCGGGUUGGAAACCGCUUUCAGCAGGGGCGAAGCUUGUGGUGACGGUACCUGCAGAAGAAGCACCGGCUAACUACGUG
This 465-nucleotide ribosomal RNA is filed under the name uncultured bacterium. Its description in RNAcentral is "partial 16S ribosomal RNA". It matches the Rfam family "Bacterial small subunit ribosomal RNA", at positions 28 to 507 of the family's 1533-position model. The record is from RNAcentral.